AACGAACGCUGGCGGCAUGCCUAACACAUGCAAGUCGAACGAGACCUUCGGGUCUAGUGGCGCACGGGUGCGUAACGCGUGGGAAUCUGCCCUUCGGUUGGGAAUAACUGAGAGAAAUUUCAGCUAAUACCUUAUAAUGUCUUCGGACCAAAGAUUUAUCGCCGAGGGAUGAGCCCGCGUAGGAUUAGGUAGUUGGUGGGGUAAUGGCCUACCAAGCCGACGAUCCUUAGCUGGUCUGAGAGGAUGAUCAGCCACACUGGGACUAAGACACGGCCCAGACUCCUACGGGAGGCAGCAGUGGGGAAUAUUGGACAAUGGGCGAAAGCCUGAUCCAGCAAUGCCGCGUGAGUGAUGAAGGCCUUAGGGUUGUAAAGCUCUUUUACCCGGGAUGAUAAUGACAGUACCGGGAGAAUAAGCUCCGGCUAACUCCGUG
This 433-nucleotide ribosomal RNA is filed under the name uncultured bacterium. RNAcentral's name for it is "partial 16S ribosomal RNA". It matches the Rfam family "Bacterial small subunit ribosomal RNA", at positions 29 to 507 of the family's 1533-position model. The record is from RNAcentral.